CUUUAUUCUUUUGUUCUGCUUUCUUUUCUUUUGCCUUAAGGAAUCAGAGCCUAUCAAAAUACGUGGCUUUCAUCCACUUUCUAAAGUCAACAGUGGAUGCAUGCCAUUGUGGGACCCUGCUGGAACAGGUCACUAGGAGAUCCCUGGAGAUGGGCCAUGUCCUACGUGUACACUGCAAAGAAGACACACACCUAAGUGUGUGCUGCUCAGGAUUUGAUUUUCAUUUUGGCAAAGGUCACAGCGGCACCCCUGCUCCUCUUAGACUCCUGCAAACAGCUUUGAACUCGAACGUAUUUGAUAGGUGGGUGUGAUAAGCAGCCAGGUUAGCCAUCCCAUCCCACUCCACCCUGCCCCAUUCCAUCUUCUCUCUGGGAGAACGGUGGUUCUUGACACUAAAUUCGGGAGCAGUUGGCAACGCCUGACUAUUCCCCUGGCUUAAAGAUUUUGAUUGUGAUGAGGUCAUGGUUCAGAGAUCGGCAAAGCCCAGAAACGGUUCAUGUUUUGCUCCCACAGAGGGCUGAGGCUGCAGGGCCUUUGCAGCACUGCUGCGUGUUGCACUGCUGCUGUGAGCGUUGAGUUGGUGCCAUCGGUCUGACCACGCACCUAAAGCACCCCUCAGGAGUCACUGCUUGCUCAAAGCUGGAGAGUCCCACACCACCUCUUGCUUAACUGCAGGUUAAAAAUUUGCUCUCUAUUUACCUGCUGAUGUACCUCACGCUUGAAGUAUGAGGGCCCUGGCCAGGCUGAAGCUGUGGCAGGGUCCCCAGGGUGCAGCCAGCCCGACAGCCCUCGCUGCAGCUCAUCCCAUGCUGGGGGAAGGUGCUUGCUCUGACGGCAUUGGCAAGCACUAAAAAUGAAAAACCUUGACAAAUACAUGGUAGAAGUUAGCAAGAAAUGGCAUUUUCUGUGAGAAGGGGAGCGCUGCGAAUUGGGUUUCAAGGAAAUGGCAUUUAAGCAGUGCCUCUCCUGCAGCUCAGCACUCCGGGUCCGGGCUGGCAGCCAUCGGUGUCAGUGCAGUUUUGCUGCAGGGUUAGCAUGUAAAAGCCGUUCUGCUGAACUGAACACACAACAGAGAUCCUGCAGUGUUUGGGAAUUGGUUUCCAUUCACAAAGCUGAGGGUCUCCGUGCCUGCUGCCUUAACCUGAGCGAGAUGCUCCGCGCUGAUGUGCCGCUGUGCUCCUCACAUAGCUGGGUUUGUGGUGUUCAAUGUCACAUAAGGAGUCUGCUUCUGCUCUGCUGGCCUUUAUUGCCACGUGAGGUGUGCAUACACCUAUAUGAGAGGAAGAGGCAAGAAGCUGGCUGCCCUCUUCCUCACCACGGGCGUGCAGGAGACGUGCUGGGGUAUGGGGUCCUGUCUGUUUGCCAUCACUUGGGAAAGUACAGCCAUUUUAGUUCUCAUCUCAGCCAUUUAAAUAUGUGCAGGAGGGGUGAGCCAUGUUCACAUCCCUUUUUUUUUCCCCCUAAUUCUAAUUUUCUGGCACGCUUUCUCCCUGGAAGCUGGAGCUAUUAGCAGUUAUUCUCCCAGGACUCUGUGCCUCUCUUCAUCUCUGAGUCACUUCUCCAAUUAGAGAUUAAUUUAUCCAGCAUUGCUCCUUGCUGCGACGAGCAGUAAUGAUAAAAACACUCUGAUCUCGAACUGAAAUGGGCCAAAAGGAAGAAGAGAUGUGUGUGGUGUGUCUCUGGGCUAUGGCUUCUUUACAGAGCAGCUGGACGUGUGUAUUUACUGCAGGAAGCUGGAUGCUUGGGGAGGCAAUGGGGGACUCUUCUGUCCUGCUCAGGAGAAGGGCUGGCCAUGCAAGGAGCACGGUGCUCCAGCACAAACCUGCUAAAGAAAUGGUUUGCUACCCAGAUAGCUUGGGAUUGCUAUUUCCUGGUUGUUGAGAAACACAGGUAGAUAAGUAUCUGUUCUUCAGAACAGAGAAUGCUAUUUAAAGGCAUACUUAGGUGAGGUUGGUGGGAAGAUGAAGGUGAAGAUGCUUGAGGUAUUCUCACCGUGAAAUCCACAGCGCCUGUGGCUGCAGCCUUGCUUUGAAUGCCCUGGUGCGAAUAGCUGCCUUAGCUGCAACUGAGUUUGCUGGCCUUACUGCCCUGCAGGGAAAUGGUGUUUGCUUUGGGAUGGCCUGCUGGUGUGGGGAAAGGUCGUGACAGGGUGAGUCGAUGUCUGAAGGGCAGCAGCACGUGAACCGGCCACGCGCUAUCAGCACAGAGAGCUCAGGUGGAAUCCCUCCGGAGCUGCAGCAGGGCAGUGCUGGAGUGCGGAGGUGACCCAGAGCCGGAGCUGAGGGCUGACCCGGGGAGCUGCAGGCUCUGAGCUGGUUGUGUAGGAGGGUGCUGUGCUGCCUCCUGCAUCUCAUGCUCAUCCUGCAGACAAACCUCCGCCUCGAUGGCUGCUGCUGUUUUCUUCCUGGUUGCCGGAAGACGUGUUCCCACAGGCCUAGCUGGGUUUUUGUGCUUCAUGCCUUAAUUGCUUCAUCCUUAUCUGGAAAUGAAUUUGGAGAAGUACAGCUAAAACAAACACCCAGUCUUGUUCUUGGAAACACCAAUGUCUGUUUGCCAGACGUGUCUGUGACCUUCCAGGUUAAUGAGCAACGCUCUGAGGCAAUGUGGGGUUGCGCCUCUCCCCUGGUUGGGCACCAAAGGGGAAGUCAGGUAGGUGGAGGCCUGGAAAAUGCCAUGGGGAAUGGGUUCAGCUCAGGGUGAGCAGGGUCUCUGGAUGAUGGGCAGGUGUAGGGCCAUCUCUACGGGCGUUCUUUCACAUUCAAAGCCUCAGGCCAACAGUAAGUUUUAAAAUAAACAAUAGAUCUAAUUUGCUGCCUCAGGAAGCGUCAGUCAAGCGAAGUUACGUUUGCAGUGUAGUGUGAUAGAUCGACCUUAUGGGUUUAUUUCAGAAUUUUAAAGCUGUGGGUCCAUAUCUGGAUUAAACAGUCCCAGCAAAUGGGUUUUAUCUCAGUACACCACAGUGGAUUCAGGCAAGUAGGGUGGAUUUGGCUUGUAACUGCUUAACCACUGCAGUUCUGCUUGUGGAUGGUUUGUUUCAUUGUGUUUUUCAAGAGAGUGGUUCUUCCCAGGCUGCAGGAAAGCACCACUUCUGGUAUGUGGGUUAAUGAAGGGCUCGGUAAGACCCAGGGAGCUCUUCUGGUAGCAGUCAAGUGCUCCUUCUAUGUUAAUUAUCACCGUGUUUCUCAGCAAAGGUAAGGAAAGCAAAGUUCUUCAGCCGGUGCUGCUUUAUUGUCACCACGCUCCAAAUGCACGUUGGUGAAAUUCCUGAUUAUUUCCACGCUUCAGCUGAUGGUCCACAAGUGGUCACCUGCAGUCAUCGUUCAUCUUUUUUCAGUUGGAGAUGCUGCAAAUGCCAGAGAUGAGAUGAGGGGAAACACAUCAAGGCUUUCUUUGCUUCCUGCCUUUGAGCCUGUGAUGGGUUUCUGUGGGUCUGAAGUCCUGCUGUAAGAGCUCGCAGCAGCUGGAAGUGUAAUGCACUGCAGCUCGGUGCCUCCUGAGGCACUCGGGCACAGCCUGGAGGAGUUUAAUGGCACUGAGGAUGGUUUUACCAACGCAUGAACCAACAUGGGCUGAGAGAGCAACUCACAAUACCUUCCUGCAACAGAGAAAGUCCAGUUUCCAUAAUAAAUAAUGAGGAGGCGUUACUUCUGGAGCAACCUGUCUAUUCCUCAGUCAUCGAAGGUGCUGAAAAGCAGAUAAGGCUGCACGCUUGCCUCCUCGUCAGCCACCCCACAGUACUGCUGGUUACACCGCUGGUGAAUGCUAACGUCAAACUGAUUUGCUCCCAAGAAGCCACUGCUGCGUGCUCCUGCAGGGAUGCUGCGGGCUGCCCCCCGCUCUCUGCUGUGCUUUGUGUGCUCCACGGGUGUUCUCUCCCUGAAGCAGUGGUUACGUGGGAUUUGGGGCUCCCUUUCCAACCCCUCCUGCGAAAGGAGAGCACAGGUGAGACUCUUAUCAGCUAUCUCUCUGCAGUUACGGACUGGGAGUCUCUCUUAUCUCUUUAACCUUCACGUAGCCCUUGCCUGGAGGCACUCGAUGCGGUGGUUACUUUAUCCAGACUGCUUUCUGGAUCACAGAUCCCUGAACAAUAACAGAGAGGGGUGGCAGAGGCAAGCCUGGACUAGAAAUCAGAUCGGAAAUACUGAGAAAUGAGAGUUAAACAAAAGCUGCAUCACGUAACGAGGGGUCCUGGCUGCCAUGGGGCCCAUCCUGUCCCUGCUCAGCAACCAGCCCUGCCUUGCAGGGACUCGGCAGGGAUGCUGCAGGAGGGAAACUCCUCCGUUUGGGGCUCUAGCUCUGAGAGGGGCAUUGCUGGCAUUUACUCAGGGGCCAAGAAAGCCGCAGUCAAGCUUAGCACAUAGCUAACCUACCCCAUCCCUGCAGGUGCUCAAG
RNAcentral lists this long non-coding RNA (4392 nucleotides) under Gallus gallus (chicken). Its description in RNAcentral is "lncRNA (ENSGALG00010026306.1)". The record is from RNAcentral. Lineage: Eukaryota; Metazoa; Chordata; Aves; Galliformes; Phasianidae.